RNAcentral lists this ribosomal RNA (800 nucleotides) under Henssenia glaucella. RNAcentral's name for it is "SSU rRNA". It matches the Rfam family "Bacterial small subunit ribosomal RNA", at positions 358 to 1269 of the family's 1533-position model. The record is from RNAcentral. Lineage: Eukaryota; Fungi; Ascomycota; Lecanoromycetes; Peltigerales; Koerberiaceae.
GGAACGAAAAGCAAUAGCUAUCUGCAUUAAAAAGUAAUUUAGUGCAAGAUCGACUAUGUCGAUUAAAGUUCAGGGUAGAAUUAUGAUAAUGACAUUGUCUAUCUUUGGGUCUUGUCCAAAUUACGUGCCAGCAGACGCGGUAAUACGUAAAAGACUAGUGUUAUUCAUCUUGAUUAGGUUUAAAGCGUGCCCAGACGGUUAAUGAAGCCGUAAAAGGUACUGAUUAACUAGAGUUAGAUGUAAGGGAGCUAUUACGUACUGUUGAGUUAAGAGAUAAAAUGCUAUUAUACCAGAUAAUUGGCACGGGUUUAGGCGAAGGCAUCUCCUUAUGUAAUAACUGACGUUGAAGCACGAAGGCAUGUAUAGCAAAAAGGAUUAGAUACCCCAGUAGUCUUAGCAGAAAAUUAUGAAUGUCAUAGGUUGAAUAUAAUUCUGUCUAUAAAUGAAAGUGUAAGCAUUCCACCUCAAGAGUAAUUUGGCAACAUUGAAAUUGAAAUCAUUAGACCGUUUCUGAAACCAGUAGUGAAGUAUGUUGUUUAAUUUGAUGACCCGCAAAAAACCUUACCACAAUUUGAAUAUAUAUUUACAAGCGUUGCACGGCUGUUUUUAGUUAAUGUCGUGAGAUAUUGGUUUAUUCCAUCAAUUAACGGAAACCCUUACUUUAUUUUAAUAUAAAGUUGUUCACUGAGAUAUUGGAUACGAUAACAGGGAUUAAGACAAGUCAUCAUGGCCUUAAUAUUGUGGGCUACAGACGUGCCACUUAAGCCUUACAAAGGGAUGCUAAAUUGCGAAAUUAAGCU